This 830-nucleotide ribosomal RNA is filed under the name Streptomyces sp. MZ2640K. RNAcentral describes it as "bacterial SSU rRNA". It matches the Rfam family "Bacterial small subunit ribosomal RNA", at positions 61 to 906 of the family's 1533-position model. The record is from RNAcentral. Lineage: Bacteria; Bacillati; Actinomycetota; Actinomycetes; Kitasatosporales; Streptomycetaceae.
GUCGAACGAUGAAGCCCUUCGGGGUGGAUUAGUGGCGAACGGGUGAGUAACACGUGGGCAAUCUGCCCUUCACUCUGGGACAAGCCCUGGAAACGGGGUCUAAUACCGGAUAACACUGCGGACUGCAUGGUCUGCGGUUAAAAGCUCCGGCGGUGAAGGAUGAGCCCGCGGCCUAUCAGCUUGUUGGUGGGGUAAUGGCCUACCAAGGCGACGACGGGUAGCCGGCCUGAGAGGGCGACCGGCCACACUGGGACUGAGACACGGCCCAGACUCCUACGGGAGGCAGCAGUGGGGAAUAUUGCACAAUGGGCGAAAGCCUGAUGCAGCGACGCCGCGUGAGGGAUGACGGCCUUCGGGUUGUAAACCUCUUUCAGCAGGGAAGAAGCGAAAGUGACGGUACCUGCAGAAGAAGCGCCGGCUAACUACGUGCCAGCAGCCGCGGUAAUACGUAGGGCGCAAGCGUUGUCCGGAAUUAUUGGGCGUAAAGAGCUCGUAGGCGGCUUGUUGCGUCGAUUGUGAAAGCCCGGGGCUUAACCCCGGGUCUGCAGUCGAUACGGGCAGGCUAGAGUGUGGUAGGGGAGAUCGGAAUUCCUGGUGUAGCGGUGAAAUGCGCAGAUAUCAGGAGGAACACCGGUGGCGAAGGCGGAUCUCUGGGCCAUUACUGACGCUGAGGAGCGAAAGCGUGGGGAGCGAACAGGAUUAGAUACCCUGGUAGUCCACGCCGUAAACGUUGGGAACUAGGUGUUGGCGACAUUCCACGUCGUCGGUGCCGCAGCUAACGCAUUAAGUUCCCCGCCUGGGGAGUACGGCCGCAAGGCUAAAACUCAAAG